AUGUGGAGCGUACACAGGUGCUGCAUGGCUGUCGUCAGCUCGUGUCGUGAGAUGUGGGUUAAGUCCCGCAACGAGCGCAACCCUGCAUUCAGUUGCCAACGGUAAGGCCGGGCACUCUGGAUGGACUGCCGGCGACAAGCCGGAGGAAGGUGGGGAGUGACGUCAAGUCAUCAUGGCCCUUAUGUCCAGGGCGACACACGUGCUACAAUGGCCGGCACAGCGGGAAGCGAGGGGGCGACCUUGAGCGGAUCCCUCAAAGCCGGUCUCAGUUCGGAUUGCAGUCUGCAACUCGACUGCAUGAAGUUGGAAUCGCUAGUAAUCGUGGAUCAGCCAAGCCGCGGUGAAUACGUUCCCGGGCCUU
This 361-nucleotide ribosomal RNA is filed under the name uncultured Thermovirga sp. Its description in RNAcentral is "bacterial SSU rRNA". It matches the Rfam family "Bacterial small subunit ribosomal RNA", at positions 1021 to 1382 of the family's 1533-position model. Lineage: Bacteria; Thermotogati; Synergistota; Synergistia; Synergistales; Thermovirgaceae. The record is from RNAcentral.